This 371-nucleotide ribosomal RNA is filed under the name uncultured eukaryote. RNAcentral describes it as "partial 18S ribosomal RNA". It matches the Rfam family "Eukaryotic small subunit ribosomal RNA", at positions 592 to 975 of the family's 1831-position model. The record is from RNAcentral.
CAAUAGCGUAUAUUAAAGUUGUUGCAGUUAAAAAGCUCGUAAUUGGAUUUGUGGCGGUCCCUGUGGUCCAAUUUUGGUACUCUCGGGGACUGCCAUCCUUGGGUGGAUCCUGUGUGGCAUUAGGUUGUCGUGCAGGGGAUGCCCAUCGUUUACUGUGAAAAAAUUAGAGUGUUCAAAGCAGGCUUACGCCGUUGAAUAUAUUAGCAUGGAAUAAUGAGAUAGGACCUUGGUACUAUUUUGUUGGUUUGCGCACCGAGGUAAUGAUUAAUAGGGACAGUUGUGGGUAUUCGUAUUCCAUUGUCAGAGGUGAAAUUCUUGGAUUUCUGGAAGACGAACUAAUGCGAAAGCAUUUAUCAAGGAUGUUUUCAUUA